Molecule: ribosomal RNA, 450 nt
Filed under: uncultured Glomeromycotina
Lineage: Eukaryota; Fungi; Glomeromycota
Description: SSU rRNA
Rfam family: Eukaryotic small subunit ribosomal RNA
Source: RNAcentral
AGCAGCCGCGGUAAUUCCAGCUCCAAUAGCGUAUAUUAAAGUUGUUGCAGUUAAAAAGCUCGUAGUUGAAUUUCGGGAUUGACGUGAUGGUCGUGCCUUAAGGGGUAUGAACUGUUGCUGUUGAUUUCUCACCUUCUGGAGAAACUUGAUGUCCUUAAUUGGGUGUCUUGCGGAUCCAGGACCUUUACCUUGAAAAAUUAGAGUGUUUAAAGCAGGCAUUUUGCUCAAAUACAUUAGCAUGGAAUAAUAGAAUAGGACGGCAUGGUUCUAUUUUGUUGGUUUCUAGGAUCACCGUAAUGAUUAAUAGGGAUAGUUGGGGGCAUUAGUAUUCAAUUGUCAGAGGUGAAAUUCUUGGAUUUAUUGAAGACUAACUACUGCGAAAGCAUUUGCCAAGGAUGUUUUCAUUAAUCAAGAACGAAAGUUAGGGGAUCGAAGACGAUCAGAUACCGU